RNAcentral lists this unclassified non-coding RNA (200 nucleotides) under Venturia sp. (in: ascomycete fungi). Its description in RNAcentral is "Venturia sp. (in: Fungi) partial internal transcribed spacer 2". Lineage: Eukaryota; Fungi; Ascomycota; Dothideomycetes; Venturiales; Venturiaceae. The record is from RNAcentral.
UUAAGUUCAGCGGGUAUCCCCACCUGAUCCGAGGCCAACCUUGUAUGAUUUGGGUUCGGGGCGACCGGCCGCCGGGCGCUCCGAGCGAGGGAUUUCUCUUGCUACACUCGGGGCCUGGCGACGGCGCCCACGGGUUUCGGGCCGUCCGCGGGGACGGGGCCCAUCACAGAGCAGGGCUCCAGGGUAGAAAUGGCGCUCGA